Zingiber officinale is the source of this 1376-nucleotide long non-coding RNA. RefSeq lists it as uncharacterized. The record is from RefSeq and is a predicted model, not a curated record. The transcript is spliced from 3 exons. Lineage: Eukaryota; Viridiplantae; Streptophyta; Magnoliopsida; Zingiberales; Zingiberaceae.
GCGACGACACAGUGCUCUGUUCGCGACAUCUCCUCUCGUGCGGCGCAGCUAGGGCACGCGACCUCCCACCGCUGGCCGUCUCUUCUUCCUCACCACCGGCCGACAGCUCUUUCUUCUCUUCACUGCCGCACAGACCCCUCUCAGGAAUCGGGAAGUGCGGUGGUGGAUUUCGCCGACAAUGACGACGCCCAACAACCUUCCCAACGGCGGCCACCACCAGCGCCCACACCCUUCGCCCGACCCUCGGAGACAGCGCCACUACCUUGGCACGCCCAUCGCCACCCCUUCCUCCUCCUCUUCCUCCGCCGCCUCCUUCAAGGGUUGCUGUUGCUACCUCGGCGGUGCUCGAUGUGAUGUACUGCGGCGUGCCACUCGGCGUGGCGACGGUGCCGGGCUUCGAGCAGCCCGCGCACAGCAGCCGCCUCGUCCAGACCCACGAAAGAUUGAAUACUCACUUUGCAUUAUCUAGCUUCAAGAGAACAAGAGAGCUGUGCGUGGUGAUAAGUGUCUAAAAGUUUAAUUGUUUCAUUUAUUUAUGUUGAAUCAAGUGAUCGCUAGAGAUGGGCAAGACAUCGGGUUGGUUUACGCUCAUCAAAAGAGCCUUCACUUCGAGCUCUAAGGAUAAAUUGGUCCAGACAAGUACCCCAAUCCAAUACUCACAGGACAAGCAAAAAAGAGAGAAGAAAAAGUGGGGAUUUAGCAAAUCCAACCAUGAUGACAAUGGUUCCUUUAUUCAAAUGCAUAGACAACAAAACAUAAUUGAGCGAAUACUGGAGGAUGUUCAAAAUGAGCAACACCAACGACAUAGAGUGCAGCAAGUGCUCCCCAAGAAGGCUCAACAAUCGAAAUCGCCUACAAGAAAACCAAGGAUUGUUCCCAACUAUGCCCACAUUUCAGCAAUCAAAAUCCAAGCAGCAUAAAGAGGUUACAGGUAAGCGAUUGGUGGUUUGGAUGUCAAUGAGUGGAACGGUAGAAGGGUCGUCUCUGAACCCAAAUGCCCUACACUCUGUUCUGCAGCAGUUGCGGGAGUCAGUGCAGGCAUUGUUGGAACACUUCCAUCAGUGGAGGCAACAAGAGAUGGCUGGCAAAGACUUGUUUGAGACUGCCUCUGUGGAGGCUUUAGUCAUGAACCUGAGCACCAAAUCUCCGAAAAAAGGCGUGAGGUCGGGUAAAUAUCGUGAAAAACCUGUCCAAUGCAUAAGGCCAAAGUGUACUCCUCGCCGCAUCAUUCUUCGAGGCCGACUAAUUAUUUUGUGCUUUUUUUGUUUUAAAUUCGAAUGUCACUAUCUACUUUGAAACAGAACUAUUUAGUCUUUGUGUAUAGUUGAAUUCUCCUGUAAAUACUAAUACUUUGUAAUUGAAUUCUAUUGUUUUGG